GCAACUCGCCUGCAUGAAGGCGGAAUUGCUAGUAAUCGCGAAUCAGAAUGUCGCGGUGAAUACGUUCCCGGGCCUUGUACACACCGCCCGUCACACCAUGAGAGUCGAUAACACCCGAAGCCUGUGAGCUAACCUUAGGGAGCAGCAGUCGAAGGUGGGGUUGAUGAUUAGGGUGAAGUCGUAACAAGGUAUC
RNAcentral lists this ribosomal RNA (193 nucleotides) under uncultured bacterium. Its description in RNAcentral is "partial 16S ribosomal RNA". It matches the Rfam family "Bacterial small subunit ribosomal RNA", at positions 1307 to 1500 of the family's 1533-position model. The record is from RNAcentral.